Molecule: ribosomal RNA, 493 nt
Filed under: uncultured bacterium
Lineage: Bacteria
Description: partial 16S ribosomal RNA
Rfam family: Bacterial small subunit ribosomal RNA
Source: RNAcentral
GACGAACGCUGGCGGCGUGCCUAACACAUGCAAGUUGAGCGACGAACCAGGGCUUGCCCUGGGGCAAAGCAGCGAACGGGUGAGUAACACGUGGGUAACCUACCCCGAUAACCGGGACAACCCGAGGAAACUCGGGCUAAUACCGGAUGUGCUCACUGGACUUCGGUUCAGUGCGUAAAGGAAGCUUCGGCCUCCGUAUCGGGAGGGGCCCGCGGCCCAUUAGUUUGUUGGUGAGGUAACGGCUCACCAAGACCGCGAUGGGUAGCUGGUCUGAGAGGACGAUCAGCCACACUGGGACUGAGACACGGCCCAGACUCCUACGGGAGGCAGCAGUGGGGAAUCUUGCGCAAUGCGCGAAAGCGUGACGCAGCAACGCCGCGUGGGGGAAGAAGGCCUUCGGGUUGUAAAGCCCUUUCAGGAGGGACGAAGGUUCGGCGGUGAAUAGCCGUCCGGACUGACGGUACCUCCACAAGAAGCCCCGGCUAACUACGUG